AUACGUAGGGGGCAAGCGUUGUCCGGAUUUAUUGGGUUUAAAGGGUGCGCAGGCGGGAGAUUAAGUCGGCGGUGAAAUUUUGCAGCUCAACUGUAAAAGUGCCUUCGAAACUGGUUUCCUUGAGUGUAGAUGAAGUAGGCGGAAUUUGUGGUGUAGCGGGGAAAUGCAUAGAUAUCACGAGGAACUCCGAUUGCGCAGGCAGCUUACUAAACUACUACUGACGCUCAGGCACGAAGGCGUGGGGAUCAAACAGGAUUAGAUACCCUGGUAGUCCACGCAGUAAACGAUGAUUACUAGCUGUUUGCGAUACAAUGUAAGCGGCUGAGCGAAAGCGUUAAGUAAUCCACCUGGGGAGUACGUUCGCAAGAAUGAAACUCAAAGGAAUUGACGGGG
RNAcentral lists this ribosomal RNA (393 nucleotides) under uncultured bacterium. Its description in RNAcentral is "partial 16S ribosomal RNA". It matches the Rfam family "Bacterial small subunit ribosomal RNA", at positions 523 to 918 of the family's 1533-position model. The record is from RNAcentral.